GAUGACCAGGCUAAAAGAAAGAGGCAGUUUCCCAAAUAAUGACUUGGUUCACAAAUCAAAACAGGUUGCCUACUGAAAGCUCAUUUGUAGUCUGUGAUUAACAUCAAUAUAAGAUGUGAUAAACUGAAAACGGUGACUAAGAGGAAAUAACAUAGAGAGUGCAGCCUACUCACCACUCUGAUAGAUGGCAUGUUUGGCAUCUUCCUUGAACAUUUCACAGCCACCUAAUCAACAAAACAAAGAAUUAACAAUUAGCAUGUGCAGAUAGUUGAUAUCACUCCAAUCAUAAAUCCUGAAGAGAUGUGCAAAGUUUUUAAGUGAAGAAAAUUUAAACCUUAAGUCCAUCCUUGCAGCGAGUCCCACAUCCUCCUUCACCAUCUUGCAGCUGAUUUUAUACUGCUUGUGAAUGUGGCCUAAUAACAGACAAACAAUUGUGGAUGUCCUGCACAAGCCGUUCCUCAGCAGUGAGGAGGACUUUCUCUCUCCCUGCCUCCGUUCUCCCUCCAUCAGUCUCAACACCACCAACAGGCGCCUCAUCAGGCAGAUUAGGAUGACUGUUCUCUGACGUGAUGGGGUAAAGUACACCGGGACAUCCUGCUUCUGCUGUUCCUCAGCAGCGGGGAGGACUUCAAGAGCUGGAGCU
This is a long non-coding RNA of Sinocyclocheilus rhinocerous, 643 nucleotides long. RefSeq lists it as uncharacterized. Lineage: Eukaryota; Metazoa; Chordata; Actinopteri; Cypriniformes; Cyprinidae. The record is from RefSeq and is a predicted model, not a curated record. The transcript is spliced from 3 exons.